AGCGUACAAGGUGGAUGCCUUGGCAAUCAGAGGCGAGGAAGGACGUGCUAAUCUGCGAAAAGCUUGGAUGAGUCGAUAAGAGGCGUUUAAUCCAAGAUGUCCGAAUGGGGAAACCCAGUAGAUGAAGAAUCUACUAUCACUUACUGAAUCCAUAGGUAAGUGAGGCAAACCGGGAGAACUGAAACAUCUAAGUACCCCGAGGAAAAGAAAUCAACCGAGAUUUCGUUAGUAGCGGCGAGCGAACGCGGAGGAGCCUGUUAGUGAUAAUGACAGAGACAGAGGAACAAGCUGGGAAGCUUGGCGAUACAGGGUGAUAGCCCCGUACUCGAAGUCCAGGUCAUGGUACUAAGCUAACGACAAGUAGGGCGGGACACGUGAUAUCCUGUUUGAAGAUGGGGGGACCAUCCUCCAAGGCUAAAUACUCCUGAUUGACCGAUAGUGAACCAGUACUGUGAAGGAAAGGCGAAAAGAACCCCGGUGAGGGGAGUGAAAUAGAACCUGAAACCUUGUACGUACAAGCAGUGGGAGCCCUUUUGGGGUGACUGCGUACCUUUUGUAUAAUGGGUCAGCGACUUAUAUUUUGUAGCGAGGUUAACCGAAUAGGGGAGCCGAAGGGAAACCGAGUCUUAACUGGGCGUCUAGUUGCAAGGUAUAGACCCGAAACCCGGUGAUCUAGCCAUGGGCAGGUUGAAGGUUGGGUAACACUAACUGGAGGACCGAACCGACUAAUGUUGAAAAAUUAGCGGAUGACUUGUGGCUGGGGGUGAAAGGCCAAUCAAACCGGGAGAUAGCUGGUUCUCCCCGAAAUCUAUUUAGGUAGAGCCUUGAGCGGACACCUUCGGGGGUAGAGCACUGUUUCGGCUAGGGGUCCAUCCCGGAUUACCAACCCGAUGCAAACUACGAAUACCGAAGAGUGAUACUCAGGAGACACACGGCGGGUGCUAACGUCCGUCGUGGAGAGGGAAACAACCCAGACCGCCAGCUAAGGUCCCAAAGUCUAUAUUAAGUGGGAAACGAAGUGGGAAGGCUUAGACAGCUAGGAUGUUGGCUUAGAAGCAGCCAUCAUUUAAAGAAAGCGUAAUAGCUCACUAGUCGAGUCGGCCUGCGCGGAAGAUGUAACGGGGCUCAAAUAUAGCACCGAAGCUGCGGCAUCAGACGAAAGUCUGUUGGGUAGGGGAGCGUUCUGUAAGCGGAUGAAGGUGGCUCGAGAGGGUUGCUGGACGUAUCAGAAGUGCGAAUGCUGACAUAAGUAACGAUAAAACGGGUGAAAAACCCGUUCGCCGGAAGACCAAGGGUUCCUGUCCAACGUUAAUCGGGGCAGGGUGAGUCGGCCCCUAAGGCGAGGCUGAAAAGCGUAGUCGAUGGGAAACGGGUUAAUAUUCCCGUACUUGGAUAAACUGCGAUGUGGGGACGGAGCAGGUUAGGUUAUCGCACUGUUGGAUAUGUGCGUUUAAGUUUGUAGGUGUGAAGUUUAGGCAAAUCCGGACUUCUUUAACACUGAGAGAUGAUGACGAGGCUCUACGGAGCUGAAGUAACCGAUACCACACUUCCAGGAAAAGCCACUAAGCUUCAGGUUUAUCUAAACCGUACUGAAAACCGACACAGGUGGUCAGGUAGAGAAUACUCAGGCGCUUGAGAGAACUCGGGUGAAGGAACUAGGCAAAAUAGCACCGUAACUUCGGGAGAAGGUGCGCCGGCGUAGAUUGUAGUCCCUUGCGGGCGAAGGUUGAACCGGUCGAAGAUACCAGCUGGCUGCAACUGUUUAUUAAAAACACAGCACUCUGCAAACACGAAAGUGGACGUAUAGGGUGUGAUGCCUGCCCGGUGCUGGAAGGUUAAUUGAUGGUGUAAUCGAAAGAGAAGCUCCUGAUCGAAGCCCCAGUAAACGGCGGCCGUAACUAUAACGGUCCUAAGGUAGCGAAAUUCCUUGUCGGGUAAGUUCCGACCUGCACGAAUGGCAUAAUGAUGGCCAGGCUGUCUCCACCCGAGACUCAGUGAAAUUGAAAUCGCCGUGAAGAUGCGGUGUACCCGCGGCUAGACGGAAAGACCCCGUGAACCUUUACUAUAGCUUGACACUGAACAUUGAAUUUUGAUGUGUAGGAUAGGUGGGAGACUUUGAAGAUGAUACGCCAGUAUUGUUGGAGUCGUCCUUGAAAUACCACCCUUUAACGUUUGAUGUUCUAACGAAGAUUACGAAACGUGGUCUCGGACAGUGUCUGGUGGGUAGUUUGACUGGGGCGGUCUCCUCCCAAAGAGUAACGGAGGAGCACGAAGGUUGGCUAAUCCUGGUCGGACAUCAGGAGGU
This 2305-nucleotide ribosomal RNA is filed under the name human gut metagenome. RNAcentral's name for it is "bacterial LSU rRNA". It matches the Rfam family "Bacterial large subunit ribosomal RNA", at positions 14 to 2346 of the family's 2925-position model. The record is from RNAcentral.